RNAcentral lists this ribosomal RNA (468 nucleotides) under uncultured bacterium. RNAcentral's name for it is "partial 16S ribosomal RNA". It matches the Rfam family "Bacterial small subunit ribosomal RNA", at positions 28 to 507 of the family's 1533-position model. The record is from RNAcentral.
GACGAACGCUGGCGGCGUGCCUAAUACGUGCAAGUCGAACGGAAAGGCUCUGCUUUUGUGGGGUGCUCGGGUGGCGAACGGGUGAGUAACACGUGAGUAACCUGCGCUUGACUUCGGGAUAACUUCAGGAAACUGGGGCUAAUACAGGAUAGGAGCUCCUGCUGCAUGGUGGGGGAUGGUAAGUUACGGCGGUUGGGGAUGGACUCGCGGCCCAUCAGCUUGUUGGUGGGGUAGUGGCUUACCAAGGCUUUGACGGGUAGCCGGCCUGGGAGGGUGACCGGCCACAUUGGGACUGGGGUGCGGCCCGGAGUGCAACGGGGGGAAUCGGUGGGAAUUAGUGCGCGCAAGGCGGAGGCCUGAUAGAACGACGCCGCGUGCGAAAUGACUGCCGUCGGGUAAUAAACCGCUUGCGCGUGUAACGAAGCGUGAGUGACGGUAAUGGGUAAGAAAGCGACGGCUAACUACGUG